AAGGCUAUUUAUGGGCUGAAACAGUCUCCCCGUGCUUGGUUUGAUAAGUUCAACAAAUUUAUUGGUGGUUAUGGGUUCACUCAAUGCUUCUCUGAUCCCUUUGUAUUUGUUCGUCGUCAUGGGGCCAAGGUCGUCAUUCUUGUUGUAUGUGUUGAUGAUAAUAUCAUUUCUGGUAAUGACUCUUCUGGCAUUGAAGAUGUCAAGGCAUAUCUACAUCGGCAUUUUCAGAUGAACUUAGAGAAGCUCAAUUUGUCUCAGAGGAAAUAUAUCCUUGAUCUUCUGUCUGAGACUGGCAUGUUGGACUGUAAGCCCAUUAAUAACCCUAUGGGUCCUAAUCUGCAACUUGGGGCAUGUGAU
Long non-coding RNA from Telopea speciosissima, 357 nucleotides. RefSeq lists it as uncharacterized. The record is from RefSeq and is a predicted model, not a curated record. Lineage: Eukaryota; Viridiplantae; Streptophyta; Magnoliopsida; Proteales; Proteaceae. The transcript is spliced from 2 exons.